This 433-nucleotide ribosomal RNA is filed under the name uncultured bacterium. RNAcentral describes it as "partial 16S ribosomal RNA". It matches the Rfam family "Bacterial small subunit ribosomal RNA", at positions 29 to 507 of the family's 1533-position model. The record is from RNAcentral.
AACGAACGCUGGCGGCAUGCCUAAUACAUGCAAGUCGAACGAGAUCUUCGGAUCUAGUGGCGCACGGGUGCGUAACGCGUGGGAAUCUGCCCUUGGGUUCGGAAUAACUUCUGGAAACGGAAGCUAAUACCGGAUGAUGACGUAAGUCCAAAGAUUUAUCGCCCAAGGAUGAGCCCGCGUAGGAUUAGGUAGUUGGUGUGGUAAAGGCUCACCAAGCCGACGAUCCUUAGCUGGUCUGAGAGGAUGAUCAGCCACACUGGGACUGAGACACGGCCCAGACUCCUACGGGAGGCAGCAGUAGGGAAUAUUGGACGAUGGGCGAAAGCCUGAUCCAGCAAUGCCGCGUGAGUGAUGAAGGCCUUAGGGUUGUAAAGCUCUUUUACCCGGGAUGAUAAUGACAGUACCGGGAGAAUAAGCUCCGGCUAACUCCGUG